UCUGGUGGAAAUAGCGGAGGGGUCACACCCGUUCCCAUUCCGAACACGGACGUUAAGUCCUCCAGCGCCGAUGGUACUUGGGACGCGAGUCCCUGGGGAGAGUAGGUCUCUGCCAGAU
This 118-nucleotide ribosomal RNA is filed under the name Dethiobacter alkaliphilus. RNAcentral also lists the same sequence under 1 other name. Lineage: Bacteria; Bacillati; Bacillota; Dethiobacteria; Dethiobacterales; Dethiobacteraceae. The record is from RNAcentral.